This 213-nucleotide unclassified non-coding RNA is filed under the name uncultured Gautieria. Its description in RNAcentral is "sequence contains ITS2". Lineage: Eukaryota; Fungi; Basidiomycota; Agaricomycetes; Gomphales; Gomphaceae. The record is from RNAcentral.
AACCCUCUCGACCCCACCCCUUUUGCCCUGGGGGGGUGGGUUUGGAUUUGGACGCCUGCGGGUCGGAAAGGCCCGCUCGUCUUUAAACGCAUUAGCCGGUCCCUCAUGGUCGGUCCCGACGACGGUGUGAUAACAAACGCUUAGUGCGCCGCUCGUCGCCGACCCGGGUCGCUUACAGCCGUCUUUGGACAAACGAAAGACCCCUUUCAUGUC